Mycena capillaripes is the source of this 89-nucleotide non-coding RNA. The record is from the annotation of a GenBank genome assembly. NCBI's taxonomy places the organism in Eukaryota, Fungi, Basidiomycota, Agaricomycetes, Agaricales, Mycenaceae.
GACUCGGUGGCGAAAUGUAUUGCGUCUACUUCAUAUAUCGAUUUGGAGGUUCAAAGUGAAGGUUGCCCGUUCGAGCCGGGCCCGAGUCA